AUAAACACAACAGUAGACUUGUAUUAGAUAGAAGAUAGAUAUCA
Molecule: non-coding RNA, 44 nt
Filed under: Trypanosoma brucei brucei
Lineage: Eukaryota; Euglenozoa; Kinetoplastea; Trypanosomatida; Trypanosomatidae
Source: RNAcentral